CAAAUUAUCUUUUAUUUUUUAGACUGUUUAUAAUGUUUAUAAGAUGAGGUUGCUAGAUUAAUUUUUCUAUAAUAUAGAUUAUAUUUGAAGGCAUAGAAAAUAAAUAUAAUGUAGCCAUUUUAGUUUAUUUAUAAAUUGGACAAUGUUACCAUAUUUGUGUGUGUAUAAAAUAUAAGAUAAAUCUAAGAGAAAUGUUUGUGCUUACGGAUAACAAACAUCAUUGAAUUCUCAUUAAU
Molecule: long non-coding RNA, 236 nt
Filed under: Lathyrus oleraceus (garden pea)
Lineage: Eukaryota; Viridiplantae; Streptophyta; Magnoliopsida; Fabales; Fabaceae
Description: Pisum sativum (pea) long non-coding RNA (PSAT_LNC041631)
Source: RNAcentral